Molecule: small RNA, 77 nt
Organism: Xanthomonas oryzae pv. oryzae
Lineage: Bacteria; Pseudomonadati; Pseudomonadota; Gammaproteobacteria; Lysobacterales; Lysobacteraceae
Rfam family: Xanthomonas sRNA sX9
Source: Rfam
AUGUACCACGCGUACACUCCUGUUCUGAGCGCGCCGUCCGCGCCCACCUGACAGCUGCUCGCUACGUUUUGUUAGCC